RNAcentral lists this ribosomal RNA (442 nucleotides) under uncultured prokaryote. RNAcentral describes it as "bacterial SSU rRNA". It matches the Rfam family "Bacterial small subunit ribosomal RNA", at positions 355 to 796 of the family's 1533-position model. The record is from RNAcentral.
UAAGGAAUAUUGGUCAAUAGACGCAAGUCUGAACCAGCCAUGCCGCGUGCAGGAUGAAGGCCUUUUGGUUGUAAACUGCUUUUAUGUGAGAAAAAUAAAUCCCUGCGGGGACCAAUGAUGGUAUCACAUGAAUAAGCACCGGCUAACUCCGUGCCAGCAGCCGCGGUAAGACGGGGGGUGCUAGCGUUAUCCGGAUUUACUGGGUUUAAAGGGUACGUAGGCGGCAUUAUAAGUCAGUGAUGAAAGCCAAUAGCUCAACUAUUGAAGUGUCAUUGAUACUGUACUGCUUGAGUCUAGUCGAGGUGAGUGGAAUUCUACAUGUAGCGGUGAAAUGCAUAGAUAUGUAGAGGAACUCCAAUAACGAAGGUAGCUCACUAGGCUAUGACUGACGCUAAAGUACGAAAGCGUGGGGAGCAAACAGGAUUAGAUACCCCCGUAGUCC